This 497-nucleotide ribosomal RNA is filed under the name uncultured bacterium. RNAcentral's name for it is "partial 16S ribosomal RNA". It matches the Rfam family "Bacterial small subunit ribosomal RNA", at positions 28 to 507 of the family's 1533-position model. The record is from RNAcentral.
GAUGAACGCUGGCGGCGUGCCUAAUACAUGCCAGUCGAGCGAACAGACGAGGAGCUUGCUCCUCUGACGUUAGCGGCGGACGGGUGAGUAACACGUGGAUAACCUACCUAUAAGACUGGGAUAACUUCGGGAAACCGGAGCUAAUACCGGAUAAUAUAUUGAACCGCAUGGUUCAAUAGUGAAAGACGGUUUUGCUGUCACUUAUAGAUGGUUCCGCGCCGCAUUAGCUGGUUGGUAAGGUAACGGCUAACCAAGGCAACGAGGCGUAGCCGACCUGAGAGGAUGAUCAGCCAUACUGGAACUGAGAAAAUGUCGAGACUACUAGGGGAGGCAGGAGGGGGGAAUAGGGGAGAAUGGGAGAAAGGAUGAUAGAGCAAGACCGAGUGAAUGAAGAAGGUCUGCGGAGCGUAGAGAUGUUUUAUAGGGAAAGAAAAAAAGUAUGGUAAAAUACAGAGGGUCUGACGGUACCGAAAGAGUAAGAAAAGGCUAAAUUCGUG